CGCGUAGGCGGCUUGUACAGUCAGACGUGAAAUUCCUGGGCUCAACCUGGGGGCUGCGUUUGAUACGUGCGGGCUUGAGUUCGGAAGAGGGUCGUGGAAUUCCCAGUGUAGAGGUGAAAUUCGUAGAUAUUGGGAGGAACACCGGUGGCGAAGGCGGCGACCUGGUCCGAUACUGACGCUGAGGCGCGAAAGCGUGGGGGAGAAAC
RNAcentral lists this ribosomal RNA (206 nucleotides) under uncultured bacterium. RNAcentral's name for it is "partial 16S ribosomal RNA". It matches the Rfam family "Bacterial small subunit ribosomal RNA", at positions 568 to 773 of the family's 1533-position model. The record is from RNAcentral.